RNAcentral lists this unclassified non-coding RNA (381 nucleotides) under uncultured bacterium. Its description in RNAcentral is "contains 16S-23S intergenic spacer region". The record is from RNAcentral.
UCCGGCUUACCACCGGCGGUCCCUUUAGAGUGCCCAACUUAAUGAUGGCAACUAAAGGCGAGGGUUGCGCUCGUUGCGGGACUUAACCCAACAUCUCACGACACGAGCUGACGACAGCCAUGCAGCACCUGUGCGGACUCCGGCCGAACCGAAGGGAACAUCUCUGCUCCCGGCGAGUCCCAUGUCAAGGGCUGGUAAGGUUCUGCGCGUUGCGUCGAAUUGAACCGCAUGCUCCGCCGCUUGUGCGGGCCCCCGUCAAUUUCUUUGAGUUUUAGCCUUGCGGCCGUACUCCCCAGGCGGGGUACUUAAUGCGUUAGCUACGGCACGGAUCCCAAGGAAGGAAACCCACACCUAGUACCCACCGUUUACGGCGUGGACUAC